AGUCAGAUAGAUUAAUUAAGAUCACCGGGCUCAUGACCCGGAGGUACGACAGGUUCUGGCUG
This 62-nucleotide transfer RNA is filed under the name Planostrea pestigris. Its description in RNAcentral is "tRNA-Met". Lineage: Eukaryota; Metazoa; Mollusca; Bivalvia; Ostreida; Ostreidae. The record is from RNAcentral.